RNAcentral lists this microRNA (21 nucleotides) under Sorghum bicolor (sorghum). RNAcentral's name for it is "sbi-miR5568f-5p". Lineage: Eukaryota; Viridiplantae; Streptophyta; Magnoliopsida; Poales; Poaceae. The record is from miRBase by way of RNAcentral.
UCCAUUCCAAAUUGUAAGAUG